This 250-nucleotide ribosomal RNA is filed under the name uncultured bacterium. Its description in RNAcentral is "partial 16S ribosomal RNA". It matches the Rfam family "Bacterial small subunit ribosomal RNA", at positions 524 to 773 of the family's 1533-position model. The record is from RNAcentral.
UACGUAGGCAGCAAGCGUUGUUCGGAAUUACUGGGCGUAAAGGGUGCGUAGGCGGCGCUUUAAGUUUGGUGUGAAAUCUCCCGGCUUAACUGGGAGGGUGCACUGAAAACUGGGGCGCUCGAGUAUGGGAGAGGAAAGCGGAAUUCCUGGUGUAGCGGUGAAAUGCGUAGAGAUCAGGAGGAACACCUGCGGUGCAGACGGCUUUCUGGACCAUCACUGACGCUGAGGCACGAAAGCGUGGGUAGCAAAC